RNAcentral lists this ribosomal RNA (489 nucleotides) under Streptococcus mutans. RNAcentral describes it as "bacterial SSU rRNA". It matches the Rfam family "Bacterial small subunit ribosomal RNA", at positions 28 to 493 of the family's 1533-position model. Lineage: Bacteria; Bacillati; Bacillota; Bacilli; Lactobacillales; Streptococcaceae. The record is from RNAcentral.
GACGAACGCUGGCGGCGUGCCUAAUACAUGCAAGUGGGACGCAAGGGAACACACUGUGCUUGCACACCGUGUUUUCUUGAGUCGCGAACGGGUGAGCAACGCGUAGGUAACCUGCCUAUUAGCGGGGGAUAACUAUUGGAAACGAUAGCUAAUACCGCAUAAUAUUAAUUAUUGCAUGAUAAUUGAUUGAAAGAUGCAAGCGCAUCACUAGUAGAUGGACCUGCGUUGUAUUAGCUAGUUGGUAAGGUAAGAGCUUACCAAGGCGACGAUACAUUGCCGACCUGAGAGGGUGAUCGGCCACACUGGGACUGAGACACGGCCCAGACUCCUACGGGAGGCAGCAGUAGGGAAUCUUCGGCAAUGGACGAAAGUCUGACCGAGCAACGCCGCGUGAGUGAAGAAGGUUUUCGGAUCGUAAAGCUCUGUUGUAAGUCAAGAACGUGUGUGAGAGUGGAAAGUUCACACAGUGACGGAGCUACCAGAAAGGAC